This 12586-nucleotide long non-coding RNA is filed under the name Manihot esculenta (cassava). RNAcentral's name for it is "long non-coding RNA (MESC_LNC001665)". Lineage: Eukaryota; Viridiplantae; Streptophyta; Magnoliopsida; Malpighiales; Euphorbiaceae. The record is from RNAcentral.
CGCUCCAAGAUACACUUGAAUGGUCAAGAUAUAACAACUUUAGUUUGCUUAUCCCUCAUUGCGCACCUUUAAAAGCCUCAGAAUGAGAUCAUUUUUCUGCGACAAAUGUACUACCAAUUCUGUGGUAGCAGCAUCAGCAGAGAACCCCUUAUCAACCAUUUCGUUGAUUAGUUCUGAUGCUUUUGGUAAAUCCUCAUGCUUGAGAAACCCUUGAAUGAUGAUAUUAUAACAACAGUUAGUUGGUAAACAUCCUACCUUUUCCAUGUCUUUAAAUACCUUGUACGCUUCAUCCAUUAAUCCUUGUUGGCAGAGUCCUUUCAUAAGUGCAUUAUAUACAUAAACAUCAGGUUGUAAACCAAUUUCAGAAAGACUAGAAAAAAGUUCCUUGGCAUCAUUAAUCUUCCCAACUUUGCACAUACCAUUGAUCAGACUGCUAUAGAUCACAACAUUAGGCUUCAACUGACUUUUCUCCAUUGCUUUCAAUAGUGUGAGUGCCUCAUCGAGAUUCCCCUGUCUACACAAGCCAUCAAUCAUAAUUGAGAAGGUUACUAUAUUUGGUUGUUGACCAUGAGAGCACAUAUCCUUAAAGAGCUCUUUUGCAUUUUGGGGCCUCCCUGCUUGAAACAUACCCUUUAUAAGAGUAUUAUAAGUAACAGCAUUAGGAACUAAACCUUUAUGAGACAUUUCAUCAAAAAUCUGCUUUGCAUCAUCUAUCAUUUUGCACUUACAAUAUCCAUUGAUCAAAAUGUUGUAGCUAAAAAUGUCAGCUAUUCCGUUGGUCACCAUCAGAUCAAAUAGCUUUCUAGCCUUAUCAAUUUGCUUGCACAGACAAUAUCCAUCCAUCAAUGAAUUAUAAGUGACAACAUUAGGUUCCACACCUCUUUGAAUCAUUAUUUUGAUUAUAUUCUGCGCAAUUGAAACCAGUCCUUUCUUACAAAGAGUGUCGAUCAAUAUAUUGAAGGUAAAAACAUUAGGGGAUAUGUUCCUCCCCACCNNNNNNNNNNNNNNNNNNNNNNNNNNNNNNNNNNNNNNNNNNNNNNNNNNNNNNNNNNNNNNNNNNNNNNNNNNNNNNNNNNNNNNNNNNNNNNNNNNNNNNNNNNNNNNNNNNNNNNNNNNNNNNNNNNNNNNNNNNNNNNNNNNNNNNNNNNNNNNNNNNNNNNNNNNNNNNNNNNNNNNNNNNNNNNNNNNNNNNNNNNNNNNNNNNNNNNNNNNNNNNNNNNNNNNNNNNNNNNNNNNNNNNNNNNNNNNNNNNNNNNNNNNNNNNNNNNNNNNNNNNNNNNNNNNNNNNNNNNNNNNNNNNNNNNNNNNNNNNNNNNNNNNNNNNNNNNNNNNNNNNNNNNNNNNNNNNNNNNNNNNNNNNNNNNNNNNNNNNNNNNNNNNNNNNNNNNNNNNNNNNNNNNNNNNNNNNNNNNNNNNNNNNNNNNNAAAAAUAUAUAGACUUAAUUAAAUUUAUUUUCAUAAAAAUAAUAUUUUAUUAUAACCGUACCUUAUAUCUAAUUAAAUUCAUUUAAAAAUUAAUUAAUUUUGUUAAUUUUAUUUUUUUAAAUAAAAUAUUAUAAAUAUAAUUGUAGAAUAAUGAUUUUUUAUUUUAUUAAAUAAUAUUCCUUAUUUAAUAAAUAAUUAUCAUUGUAUAUUUUUAAAAAUAUUAUUAUAGUCUAAUUGUAUAUAAUAUUUUUAUUAAAUGUUUAUUGCUAAAAAUUAUUAGUAUGAAUUAUUUAUUUCAAAAAUUUUAGCCACAAACUCAAAUAUUGAGUUUUGAUUAUCUUAUUAUGAAUUAAAAUUGUGUUUUAGACCUAGCUUUCUUUUAAUUUUUUUAUUAUUUUUUUAAAAAAUUAUGUAGAUAAAAAUAUAGUGUCUACAAUACUAUUACAAAAUACCUCUUAUAAAACAAGUUUUUUUCGAUUAAUGAUUGAAAUGGAAGUUAUAAGGGAUUAAAAAUAUUGCGUCAGGGUUGUGCAUGCGAUAAAACUUCAGAAUUUAUGGGUGAUGGAAGGUGAUAGAGGUUUCUCCAGUUUUUCAUUAUUUAUUUUUUAUGUGUUUUUAAUUAAAAAUUAAUUUAUAAAUAAAUUUAAUUACAAUUCAAAAGAUUGAUAUAAAAUUUUAAUAAUAAGUUUAAGUUUAUAAAUAUUAAAGGUUAAACUAGAGGGUGAAUUUAUAAAAUUUAAAAUUUAACCAUUAAUUUAAAUGAAUAUAAAUGAAAUAAAAAUUAAAAUUAAAAAUCAUUGUUAAUCAGUCACUUUAAAAUUAAUUUUUUUUAUAAUGAUUGUCGAUCUCACAAAUAUUUUAAGAUCNNNNNNNNNNNNNNNNNNNNNNNNNNNNNNNNAAAUAAAAGAGAGAAGAAUAAAAUUAUUAUUAGAAAAGUUAAUUUUAAGAAUAAACUAAAAAAAAUAUAAAAUACAUAAUCAAAUUAAAAUUCAGUUGAAAAUAAUUAAAGUUAAUAGAUUUGUAAUUGAUCAUUAAUUAAAGAGAUAUUCACUCAAUUAGCUAUCAUUCAGUUAUAAUGUUUAAAUAAGCGAAUUCCAUUAAUUAUUUUUUAAAAUUAAAUUAAUUCGGAUAGCACUUAAAUUAAUUUCUAGUUAAUUAAUAAUUCCCUCAAACAUGUAGAUUUAUUUAAUUAACAGUUUUAAAAAGAGAAAAAUCUAAACUUGAUCAAUAAUAGCAAGCAAAUUAUUUAAAGCAAAUCAAUAAAUUUCUUGACAUAAAUAAAUAUAUUAAUUACUACUUGUAUUAACCUAAUUAAAUAAUUAGGUAUUUAUUUGAAUUAAUAAAAGAUUCAAUAGGACGAUUGAAUUUCUAAAGGAUAAUAAUGGAGAUGAUGUUUUUCGAAAAUAGAAAUUAAUUGAAAAAAGAAAUUGAGAUGAUAGAAGUUAAAAACAAAAUCUCACAAUUUAAUUAAAUCUCAACUUGAUUAACUUUCAACUGAAUAAAGGAGUUUAACCUCUAAGUGUUAUAAUAAAAUCGCAAAAAAUAAAAGAAGGGAAAGGAACGUUCGGCCGAAGAGAAACUGAAAAAAAAAAAGUGUGGAGAAGAGGAGAAGAGAUGAGAGAUCUACUUCUAAAGCAGUCUUUUUAUAUAGGAUAUCCCAAAAAAGAAAAUAUUCACAAUUUUAAAAAAAAAUAAAAUAAAUCUACUACUCCUAUGAUGACUCUUAUCUUAAUCCUCCUAUCUAAUUGUAUUUGUAUCUAUCUAAAAACAGUUUUAAACUCUGUACGCAAAACAAAAAUACUGCAAUCUGCCCAUCGAGCUUGGAUCACAAAUUUGAGUGAGGUAAACAGAAAUUAAGAACAUAAUCUCACAAUUUUAAAUGAACUUCAAUUUAAUUAACUUUUAUAUGAAUAAAAGAGUUUAGUUUCUAAAUGUCAUAAUAAAAUUGCAGCAAAAUAAAAAGAGAGGAAAAUUUCGGCCAAAAAGGGAUCGAAAAAGAGAGGAGAUGAUGAGAAGAGAUGGUAAAUUCUACUUCUAUGGCAGCCUUUAUAUAGACUUUUUCUAAACAAAAAAAUAAUAAUUCAUAAUUUAAAAGAGAAAUUAAAAUAAAUCUACUACUGCAAUAAUGACUUUUAUCGUAAUCCUAAUCUGAUUAUGUUUGCAUUUAUCUAAAACAAUUUUGAAUUUUGUAUAGCGGGCAAAACAGUAAUCCCAAAGUCUGUCCGUCGCUUUGGACUACAGUCUUGAGUAAGAAUGUACCUUCAAAUCAGAAAAAGAACUCUAAAACAGUCUUUUUUAAUUUUUUUUUCUCAUUUUUAGUUCAAAAUCUGUCCAAAAUCAAAUUUCAAGUAAAAAUUAAUUGUUUAUAUCAUAAUCAUAGCAAAAUUAUGGAAUUUAAUAUGAAAAAAAUGGUGAGUUUUGGGACUCAUCACAAAUUGAUUUACACACAAAUGUAUAAUUUAUUUGUAAAAAAUUUAUAAAUCGAAACACAUGGAUUUGUAAAUAGAUGUAAUACUCCAUUUUAAAAUUAAAUAAAUACAAAUUAAUUUGCACACAAAUAUAUAAUUUGUUUGUAAAUUAAAUAGACACUAAUAUAUUCUCUAAGGGAUAUAUAAUCCAUUUGUAAAAUUAAAUGGAUACAAAUUGCUUCAUAAAAAAAAUGUUUGAUCCGUUUAUAAAAUUAAAUGAAACAAACUGUUUUCAAAUGGAUAUAUAAUCUAUUUGUAAAAUUAAAUGAUACAAACUAAUUCACAAAUAAACAUGUAAUCCGUUCAUAAAUUAAAUGAACACAAUGAUUUACAAACGAAUGCAUAAUCUGUUUGUAAAAUUAAAUAAAUAUAAAUUAAUUCGCAAAUGACUAUAUAAUCCGUUUAUAAAAUUAAAUGGAUAUAAAUGAACAUAGAAUCUAUUUAUAAAAUUAAACGGACAUAAAAUGACAGCAAACGAAUGUAUAAUUUAUAAAAUUAAAUAGAUACAAAUUAAUUUGCAAAUAGAUUUUAACCCGUUUGAAAAUAAAAAUAGAUAGAAACUAAUUCGCAAAAUGAUAGGCAAUUUGCUGGUAAAAUUAAACGGAUAUGUUUGGAUUUGUAAACGAACAUAAAAUCUGUUUGUAAAAUUAAAUGGAAGCAGAAUGAUUUGCAACAUGAUAAAUAAUCUAAAUAUUUAGAUUAAUCUAUAUUUAUAUUCAAAAUUUUAAAUUUUUAGAUAAUAAAAUUAAAUAUUUUCAAUUUGUCACGUUUAUAACUAGAGUACUAAAUUGAAUAUGGAGAAGUGUAUCUUUAUGGGCAUGUACUUCCUUCACCAUAGCUUUUCCUUCGAGAAAAGCGAUAGCAAAACCCUAAACUAGUUGCCUACGUUAUCUCUUAACAAACCACUUCUUGAAACCAAACUAUCUCUCCUUCUUUAAGAUCUAAUCAAAAGUAGAACAUAAAACCCUCUGGUAGGACUCACAUAUAGUCUAAUUGACGUUGAGAUAUCUCCUUCUCAAAGUCAGGUGAUUUGAAUCACCGUAUUACCGCAUUGAGUUUGCCUCCAAAAUACAAGUGUUCCUCUAAUUCCAAAAGCUCCAUUCUAUUUUUGUGCAACCAAAUUUAAAACUUUCAAAGAAAUGGAUGUUUUCUCUCGAUGCUCUGUCUCACUCUCUUUGGACAGAUAAUGAUGUGUUUUAUAUGGACAAAGUUAAUAUAGGGAAAUGCUCUUAUUUCUCUUUUCAAGUGCCAUAAGAAUUUUGGAUAUUAAAUUUUUUCAUUAUAUUAACUUUCAAGUAAUGUGUACCGCUAAAUAUUCAAUUAACAUAUUAAUGGCAUUGACCAUUUAAUCUAUUUAUUAAACCAUUAAAAACUCAAUAUGGAUUUUGAAAAUAUAGAUACUAAAGUAGAGAUUUCAUCUCCACAUAAAACAAUAUUUUACCCUCAUUUUUAUAUAUUUUUAUUAAUUUUUUUAUACUUUAUAUAAUAUAAUAAUAUCAUUAUUAUUAUUAUUUUAAAUAGACAAUUAAAUUUGGUGUCCUAUUGCCAUAAUUAAUAUCACAUUAUUAUAUGAAUAUAUCUAAUCAAAGCUAUCUAAAAGAUUGUAAUAAAAUACAAUUAAGAAAAUGUAUUAUUUUAGUUGAUUUUAUUAUUAUAAAUGAAAUAUUCAAUUUUUUAUUUGCUAAUAUAUGUUAUUUAAUAAAAUUAUCAUUAAAGAUAAUUUUUAAAAAAUUAUUGUAGUCCAAUUCUAUAUAAAUUAAGUUAAAAAAAACUUUAUCCUAACACAAUAUGAAUUUCAAAAUUAAAAUAAUAUAUUUUUAUUUAUUUAAAAUUAUGAUUUUCAAUAAUAAAUUACAUUUUCAAUAAUAAUAAUUUUCACUAUUUUCAAUUUCUCAUAUCUUUCAAUCAAAACAAACAUUACAAAAUAACUACUUUCAUUCAUUCAAACACUUCAUACAACUAAACCAUUUUUGCUAAGAGAGAUGAAAAGUUUAUAGAAUUUAACCAUCCUGCGCCCUACCUAAUAUGAUAAUCCUACUCGUGGAAAUUGUAAAAACGGAGAAGAGAAGUUUGAGGGAGAUGAAAUGAGAAAGAGAAAGGGAGUCUGUUUGAGGGAUUUCUAAAAUUUACUUAGAGGUACAAAUGAACCAAGCAUAGCCGAGUUUUGAAUAGUUCAAAUUUAGUUCGUUAAAAAUUUUUCAAACUCGAGAUGAACUCGAGUUUUACUCAUUUCAAAAUCGAGUCAAAUACUAAUAAGGUUAAAUUUGACUCGUUUAGCAAACGAAUUUAGACGAGUUGAGUUUUUAUCGAGUUUAGUCUCAUAUAGUUCACGAAUAGUUCAAUUUAUUUACAUGUAUAAUGAGUUUUACUUUAAAACUAAUAAAUAUAAAACUAAAUAAGUAUAUAUACAAAUUAGCUCAUAAACUUAUAAAGAUGAGCUCUUAACGAUCUAAACAUAUGCAAGUUUUAAGAGUAUAAUUAAAAUAUAUAGAGCUGAACUUUAAAAAAUUUAGAUUUGGCUCAUGAAAAUAUAUGCAGGGUUUGAAUUUAUUUCUCUUAUGAUAUUAAUCUCAGCUUGCUUAAUGAGAAUGUUCACAAGUCUAUUCGCGAGCCUGCUUAUGAACUUGAAAACAGACCGAACUUACGAGUCUUAGUGGGUCGAAUACUAUGGAACUUAAAUUUAGUUCGUUUACUAAACAAGUCUAAAAAUUAAGUUUGAACUUGACUCGUUUGGAAAUCGAGUCAAAUUCAGUCGAGAUUUCGUCGAGCUGAACCUCAAAUAACUCACGGAUAGUUUGAUUCAUUUAUACUCCUAAAUUUAAUAACAGAUUGAAAUUGUUAAUAAAUUAUCAACAAAUUUACUAAUAAAUUUUAAGCUUGUUAGUAAAUUUUAACACAAAUUAUUUUAUAAAUUUAUAAAUUACCUGCGGAUUUUAAAUCCGGUAGUAAAUUUUUACAUAAUUUAUUUAUAUUAAUAAUUACCGAUGAAUUUUCAAAUUCAUUAGAAAACUAUUAAAAUUACUAAUGGAUUAAAUUACAUUGAUAAAAUUUAUUGGUAAAAUCCGUUAAAAUUCUGAAAAUUUUUUGUAGUGAUUUUAGAAAAUUUAGAUUUGGCUCAUGAAAGUAUAUGUAGGAUUUGAAUUUAUUUCUAUUAUGAUAUUAAUCUCAACUUGCUUAACGAGAUUAUUCACGAGUCUCAUUAACUCGGAAACGAACUGAACUCACGAGUUUUAAUGAACCGAAUACUAUGGAGUCUAAAUUUGACUCAUUUACUAAACAAGCCUAAAAAUUAAGUUCGAGUUUGGCUCGUUUAGAAAUCGAGUUGAGUUCGAUCGAGUUUUUAUCAAACCGAAUAUUGAAUAUUUACUAAUAAAUUUUAAAUCUGUUAAUAAAUUUUAACACUAAUUAUUUUAUAAAUUUAUAAAUUUCCAACGAAUUUUUAAAUCUAUUAGUAAUACCAAUGGAUUAACGACAAAUUUUAAAUUUUAAAUAUGUUGGUAAAUUUUUACAUAAUUUGUUUAUAUUAAGAAUUAUUGAUAAAUUUUCAAAUUCAUUAGAAAACCGUUAAAAUUACUAAUUAAUUAAAGUACAUUGAUAAAAUCUAUUAGUAAAAUCCAUUGGAAAUCCAAAAAUUUUUUAUAAUGACUUUAGAAAAUUUAUAUUUAACUCAUGAAAAUAUAUGUAGGAUUUGAAUUUAUUUCUAUUCUGAUAUUAAUCUUAAUUUGCGUAACGAGACCGUUCACGAAUCUACUGCUCAUGAACUCGAAAACGAGCCGAACUCACGAGCCUUAAUGAGUCGAAUAAUAUGGAGCUUAAAUUUGGCUCAUUUACUAAACAAGUCUAAAAAUUAAGUUCGAGUUUGACUCGUUUAGAAAACGAAUUGAGCUCGUUCGAAUUUGACUCGUUUAGAAAUCAAAUUGAGCUCGGUCGAGUUUUUAUCAAACAGAAUCUCGAAUAGCUUACGAACAGUUUAUUUCAUUUACACCCCUAAAUUUACUAACAGAUUGACAUUGUUAGUGAAUUACCAAUAUAUUUGUAAAUAAACAUUUAAUUAAUUUAUAAAAUUAAAUAGAUACAAACAAAUUUAUCUUUCCUUUUCCUAUCAAUCUAAUCAGAAAUGGAGUAUAAGAACCUUUAAUAGAAUUCAUAGUCUAAUCGACAUCAAUCUCUCUUUUUAAAGGGCCGCUUUGAGUUUGCCUUUCAAAAAAUAUAAAUGUUCCUCUGGUUCCAAAAACUCCAGUAAACCACUCUAUUUCUCUACAACCACGUUUAACACUUUCACAAAUUAAACAAUAUUUUACUGUUAUUUUUAUUUUAUCUCUUUAUUAAUUUUUUAUAUUAUUAUUAUUAUUAUUGCAAAUAGGCAAUUAAAUUUGGGUUCCUAUUAUCUUAAUAUCACAUUAUUAUAUGAAUAUAUUUAAUCAAAGUUAUCUAAAAAAAUUAUAAUAAAUAAAAUUAAGAAAAUAUAUCAUUUUAGUUGAUUUUUUAUUAUAAUUGAAAUAUUCAACUUUUUAUUUGCUAAUAUCUGUUAUUUAAUAAAACUAUCAUUAACAUAUAUUUUUUUAAGAAAAUUAUUAUAGUCCAAUUAUAUAUAAAUUAUAAUUGCAAAAAAACUUUAUCCUAAUACAAUAUGAAUUUCAAAAUUAAUAAUAAUAAUAAUAAUAAUAAUAUAUUUUUACUUUAUUUAAAAUUAGUAAUUUCCAGUAAUAAAUUAUACUUAGUAAUUUAUAAUUUGAAAGAUACGAAUAAAUUUUAAAUAAUUUUAUAUUUUUAUUUUACGUAAAAUUAUAGAUAUUCAAUAAUAAAUUAUAUUUAAACAUUUAUAAUUUGAAAGGUAUAACUAAUUUUUUAACAUGUAUAAUAUUUAUUAUUAAUUAUUUUCUUUAUAAUAUGAUUUUAAUAUAAUAAAAAAAUAUUAUUCAUAAAACUGUACUCUUAUUAAAAAAAUUUAAAACUUUUUAUUUUGAUAUGUUAUUAUAAUAGCAUUAGAAUUUUAAUUAUUAAUAAUAGUCUUAAUAUAAGUAAAUUAUUAAAACAUAAAAUAGUUUCAAUAAAAUACUCAAUCUAUUAAAAUUUUCAUAUUAUAUUUGUUAAUAGAACAUAAAUUAAAUUAAAAUAGUAAAUUAAUCGAACAAAUGAAAUUAAAAUAUUUUAAAUAAUGUAUAUUUAUAUAAUUUUUUAAUCCAUUAAAAUAUUAUAUUAUAAAUUAAUUAAAUAAAUUAUAUUAAUAAAAAUAAAUUAUAAUUGACACUACUGGACCACAAGAAAGAUCUAAUGUGAGAUUCAAUUUUUCCUGCCACCUUCUUUGAUUAUACCUGUGUUAUAUAUAGAGCUAACCUGCCUUUUAUGAACUUGUUCAUAAAUAAAUUUGGACAUAAAGUCCUGUUAAAUAGCUGAAGGCUGCUAAACUAGCAUUCCAAUCGCUAGUAGGACCAAUUGCAGUUGCUUGUCUGAGUGGCUGCAUAUGUCUGAUUUUCAUCCUCUUUCUUUUGCUUAUAAUUUCUAAACCAAUCAGCAAGUAUCUCUAACAUGCCCAAAAGCUUUCCAAAAGUCACAAAAUCUAUAUGAAACUCUUUCCUCCACUCCCAACUUUCUAACUUCUUAACUUUUCUUUUAAGAAUGAGGAAGCUGAACAUAGAAUUAUACUAAAAACAAACUCAUAUUCAACCUACUCUUUAAUGAUGCUUUAAAACACCAAGUUUAUCCCAUAGUUUCUUCAAUUUUGUAAAGUAAACAACAACUGAUAUAGAUUCUUGACUUAUUUCUUUCUUUAAUUGGUGUAUAAGUUGCCCAAAUCUUUCUUUAAAGCAAGUGUCAUAGUCAUAGACAUAUUCCAAGUCGAAUAAUUUACUAAAUUUGAAUAAUUUACUAAAUUUAACGGUGCAGAUAUGAGAAUCCUACUUGGAUUAUCUGAGUUUUGAAGAGUAGAAGGAUCUGAAUAAUUUACUAUCACAAGAUUCAACAGUUUCAACAACUUAAAUUGGUAGAUUUUCUGUCAAACAAAAAACUAAAAAAAAAAAUGGCAGAUUUCCCAACCACUACACUUGUACCUUGGCUUCAGCAGGAUACAAAUCAUACAAUAGAGGUUUGGUUAAUUUAGAAAGCAGUUUCAAAAUAGUUGCAUUAGGCCAAGCAAAGUGAUUUAAUCAUAUCCUUAAAAUGGACUCGCUUUAUUUGAUAGCUAUUGCUAUUAACUAUCAACAUUUAAUCGCCAGUUACACAUCCAAUCAACUUGGCACAAAGUAAAGAAUCUCAAAGGGAAGAAUAUAUAUAUACAUAUAUAUACCUUCCACAAGCAUUUCUAAAAUUCAAAUUUUCAUGUUAAAAAAUUGAUUUCAUUGGAAAAGAUUGUGAACUUCAUAUUAUUAGAUGCUAAUGCAAUGAUUUCACUAAUUUGACUUGAAGGAAAAUAAUAAAAGAAAUUAAGGAUAUAUAUAUAUAUAUAUAUAUAUAUAUAUACCCAACUUGAUGACUAGAAAAAAAAAGGUGACAAAGACGAUGUUUGCUUUUCCCUCAAUUCCCAUAACAUUUUUUGUUGUGUAUAAUUUUAGCGACAUUUCAUCCAACCAACAGCGGUAGAAGUCUAGUGAUUUUCUUACCUUGUACUCUGGGACUGUAUAUCCUGCACCCUGCAUUUAUAGUAUUAAAGCACACUGGUUUAUAAUCAUUAUUUUCAUUAUUAUUAAAAAUAUAAUAAUUAAGCAAAAAAGAAUUGCUUAUACCUUUAUGGUUAGAAAGGUGAAGUUGUAAUCAUAUCCUUGCAAGUACCUACAAGAGAAAUGAUAGCAUUUUAAAAGGUCAUUGAGCACAAAAAUAAAAAUAGAUAAAGAUUCUUAAGCAUUGUAGUAUGGGACCAAUUAGUUUAGUUCUCAACUCAAUUUUAGGACUGAGCUCUAGAGUUAAGGCUAUAGUAGCAGCCAAAAAAAAUUGAAAAAGGAGAUGGUGGGUUUACCAGCAACUUGAUCAUUAGAAAUCCAUGACCUCCAUUCAUCAACAAUCUUAUAUCAAAGAGAUCAAGUCCAUGUCUGAAUUCAAGCGAAAGGCACACACAUAUCAUGGUUUCCACCACAGGUAAUUUGCAGUGUUAGAAAUUUUCAUUUUGUGGAAGAGAAUCACAGCUGAUUGAAAUUAAAAAUGAUAUUUGAAGAAGUUAGUUAAAUUACAUAUCUAUUAUAUUUGAAAAAGGUAAUUACCAAGUUGCGCUCCAAGACACACUUGAAUGAUCAAGAUAUAACAACUUUAGUUUGUUGAUCCCUCAUUGCGCACCUUUAAAAGCCUCAGAAUGAGAUCAUUAUUCCGCGAUAAAUGUACUACCAAUUCUGUGGUAGCAGCAUCAGCAGAGAACCCCUUAUCAACCAUUUCGUUGAUUAGUUCUGAUGCUUUUGGUAAAUCCUCAUGCUUGAGAAACCCUUGAAUGAUGAUAUUAUAACAACAAUUAUUUGGUAAACAUCCUACCUUUUCCAUGUCUUUAAAUACCUUAUAGGCUUCAUCCAUUAAUCCUUGUUGGCAGAGUCCAUUCAUAAUUGCACUAUAUACAUAAACAUCAGGUUGUAAACCAUUUUCAAAAAGACUAGAAAACAGUUCCUUGGCAUCAUUAAUCUUGCCAGCUUUGCACAUACCAUUGAUCAGAAUGCUAUAGGUCACAAGAUCAGGCUUCAACUGACUUUCCUCCAUUUCUUUCAAUAGGGUGAGUGCUUCAUCGAGAUUCCCCUGUCUACACAAGCCAUCAAUCAUAAUUGAGAAGGUUACUAUAUUUUGCUGUUGACCAUGAGAGCACUUAUCCUUAAAGAGCUCUUUUGCAGUUUGGGGCCUCCCUGCUUGAAACAUAGCCUUUAUAAGAGUAUGAUAAGUAACAGCAUCAGGAACUAAACCUUUAUGAGACAUUUCAUCAAAAAUCCGCUUUGCAUCAUCUAUCAUUUUGCACUUACAAUAUCCAUUGAUCAAAAUGUUGUAGCUAAAAAUGUCAGCCAUUCCGUUGGUCACCAUCAGAUCAAAUAGCUUUCUAGCCUUAUCAAUUUGCUUGCACAGACAAUAUCCAUCCAUCAAUGAAUUAUAAGUGACAACAUCAGGUUCCACACCUCUUUGAAUCAUUAUUUUGAUUAUAUUCUGCGCAAUUGAAACCAGUCCUUUCUUACAAAGAGUGUCAAUCAAUAUAUUGAAGGUAAAAACAUCAGGGGAUAUGUUCCUUCCCACCAUUUCUUUCAACAAGGCCAAAGCUUCCUUGAAUUGGCCUGAAAUGCAAAGACCAUCAAUUAAGGAAGUGUACGUGAUCACAUUAGGCUCUACACCUCUUUGAAUCAUUACAUUGAAUGUAUUUUGAGCCUCUGUUCCAUCCUUACAAAGAGCAUCAAUCAAUACAUUGAAGGUACAAACAUCAGGUGAUAUGUUCUGCUCCACCAUUUCAUUCAUCAAGGCCAAAGCUUGGUUCUUUUGGCCUAAUUUGCAAACACCAUGAAUUAAACUAUUGUAAGUGAUGACAUUAGGUGAAAUGCCCUUAUUCUUCAUUUGAGAGAAGAGCUCUAAAGCCUCACCAACUAGCUCAUCCUUGCAAAGGGCGUCAAUGAUUGCACUGUAUGUCACAACAUUUGGCUCACAACCUCUAUCAGCCAUUCCCUUUAGUAGCCUAAUAGCCACACUUGUUUUCCCAAAUUUACACAUUCCGUUUACUAUCACAUUAAAAGUACAAACAUCAG